CAACAACCAUGUCUACAACAACAGCUGCAACAACAGUUACAACAACUCCUCCAGUCGUUCGUCAAUACCUGCUUUCCUUUGAGCUGAAAACCAAAGAUGUCAGAGCUGUAGAGCAGUUGAGAAACUUCAACUACACCAUCAGCACCAACAGUCUGAUACAGAUCACUGGUGUUAACAUCUCUACAGUGUGCUCCCCCAAUAACACAACCUACCAGUGCAGAUGUGAGGAUCAGUAUGGCUGGCCUUGUGACAUGUGCUCCACUUUUGGAAAAUG
This is a long non-coding RNA of Fundulus heteroclitus (mummichog), 274 nucleotides long. RefSeq lists it as uncharacterized. The record is from RefSeq and is a predicted model, not a curated record. The transcript has 3 exons. NCBI's taxonomy places the organism in Eukaryota, Metazoa, Chordata, Actinopteri, Cyprinodontiformes, Fundulidae.